UUAAUGGAUAAGAAUGAAUAAUGAGAUUGUGUAAUUGGCUUAUAGACUUGAGUUUGAAUCAUUUCUUGAGCAAAUAAAGAAAUUUUGCUAUUCUUUCUCUAUAUAAGUUAUUUAUUUUAUUCUUCUCUUCUUUUCUCAAUUCUUUCCUUACCCUAGCUGUUCCUCUCCUCUCUCUCUCUCUGAUUUUCUCUCUAUUUUUCUCCUUUCUUCUUCCUUGUGUCGUCCCUAGCUGAGUGAUUUUCACCACUGUUGUACUGCCUUAUUGCUCUAUUACCUGGUUACAAUUCCUCCAUCCUUAUUGCUGGCAUUUUUAAUCACCAAAUAGCCUCUUUUCUUCCCUAAAACCCUCCUUUGAGCCACUUGAAUCAGCCUCUCCUUGCUGCCAUUAAACCUCCAUUUUCUCCCCAUUUUCUCCACUCGUGGUGUACUGGUUGUUUCCUUUUGCUUCUCGAUUCUUGUUCUGUUGCUUGUCAAUUUUUGUUGCUGUUUUUAGAACCAUUUUAUUACUGUUUCCAGCCUCUAAAAUUCAUCCCCUUUGGAUCCAAAACCUAUUUUUGUGCCGCCCCAAAUCAACCACAUUCUUACUGCCGCUUGUGGUGGUGUGCGACCCAUCAGUGUACCACUUAUAGGCUACAAUUUUUCUCUUCUUUUUCCUCCCAUUGCAAUAGUGUUCUACUCAUUUUUCCUUUAUUUAAAACAACCCUUAAAAUUCUUAAUUAAGUCUGUAUAUGAUCCUAUUCAUCUGACAUCUCAGAUCUAGUUAUCGGGUGUAAGCGCAGUUCUAUGCGAGAUCUUGCGUUGUUUUGAUUUCACUUAUAGUUGUUGCCAUGGUCGAAUGCUCUGAGGCCAUAACGUGAUUUUCAGUUACUAAUAUUUAAGUAUUCUUUCAAUCUUAGGUACUUAUUUGAACGUGUCGAAUCAGCAGUAAAGUCGGAUUUCAUUCGUGCCCUUGUUUCGCAUCAAAUCAAUGUAAACCUUGAAACUAGGACCGACCUCGGCAUACAGAGCGCCGCCUCAGACAACAGACUAUUUUUUAAAAUAAGUAUUAUUAAUAAGUCUCUAUUGGUUUUGGUUUGUAAUUUUUAAUGUCUUUGGUUUGUGUCUUGAUUAUUUUUUAUUUGGGGAGUUUUGCAUGCAUGGAUUACUUAAGCAUAAUAAUAGGGAAAUGCGUGAUAUUUGGCUUAAAUAAAAUUUGACAUUGUUCUCCAA
This is a long non-coding RNA of Gossypium raimondii (Peruvian cotton), 1209 nucleotides long. RefSeq lists it as uncharacterized. The transcript has 2 exons. Lineage: Eukaryota; Viridiplantae; Streptophyta; Magnoliopsida; Malvales; Malvaceae. The record is from RefSeq and is a predicted model, not a curated record.